Molecule: long non-coding RNA, 2270 nt
Filed under: Citrus x clementina
Lineage: Eukaryota; Viridiplantae; Streptophyta; Magnoliopsida; Sapindales; Rutaceae
Description: Citrus clementina (C. clementina) long non-coding RNA (CCLE_LNC001910)
Source: RNAcentral
GCAAGACAAGGUGGUGGUGACACGGCUGAGGCGGUGGUGAUACCUAAAGUGCAGAAUGAGUAGGGGCGGCUUGUUCUUCAAGGAGUUUUCCCUUUUCUUUUUGUUUACUUGACUUUAUGAUUUUGGGAGGGAAUCAGUUCAAUUUUGUGGCAUUUUAUUGAGGUUAUUUUUGUAUUUUUCCUUUUUUUUUAAGUAUGUAUUUGUAAAGUUAUAAAUUUUAAUAGAUGGAGGUAUGUUUUGGGUAUUUUGAGGGAAACGGUAUAUAUCCCACGCAAUUCGCUCCUUUGGUUUUGGGCUUGGAAUCGGAUUGGGUGCUUUGGGUUUGGCUUUGGCUUUGUGGGUCACCGGUUUGGAUUUGGAUUUUGUGGCCGGUAUGGGUUUGGGUUUUUUUGGUUUUGUAUUUGGGCUGGAUUAUUCGGGUCGCGGGUUUGGGUUUGAUUUGUUGAAACCCGGUUGGACUUAGGGUUUUGUGAUGUUUGCAAAAUAGAGGGCGGCGGCUGCUUCUCCGCAUCUGCAGCAGUAUCGUGCCGAUGGCCGCAGCGAUGAGGGCGGCUAUCAAGUUGGUACUGUUCACCGUUGGGUUUGAAUUUUCUGCAGGUGCUGCCAUCGCGGUUUCCGGUUGCUGGAGAUGGUUUGGCUGCUCCCGAUCGUCACACACGAGUUCCCGAGGCCAAGACUGACCGGGAUUAGCUGCUGGAAGCGUGUCAGUGGCAGCUCGAAGGUGUGUUGUCCGUGAGCUGGUAUCGCAGGAUCCGGUAGCAAACGACGGUGGCAAUGGCAGAUCGAGGUUGGAUUGGCAUUCAGAUGAGAUUAAUUGCCGUUUAGAACCGUUCGCGGUGUUCGAAAUAGAAGCUGCAGCAACCGGUUUGGUAGGGAGUAAAUGCCGUGAACUGGAUUUUUUUUUAGAUGGAUUUUUUGAUGUUUUUAGCUGCCGAUUUGUGUCAAGAUGGGGGAGGUAUGGUCGCAGAGACCUGGAAAUGGUGUCAGAUGUGUUCAAAUUGGUUGAAAUUUCUGGUGCUUGAGUAGAGGAAGGAGGCCGUGAGUUUGUUUUGGUUUUUUGGGUUGGGAGUGGUGUUUUUGAGGUCUGCCGGUUUGUUUGAUGGCCGCCGGCAGGAGGAGGAGGUUCCAGCAUUGGUCGAUCAUCAUCACCAGCAGCCGAUGUGGCCAUAGCGGCUGGUCAAGGUUCGGUCAAACCUUGGUCAACGCCGGUAAAAAGUUUUGUGAACAGUAAACAAUUAAUUCCAAGUGUCUAUUGAUUGAACGUAUUUCUGAAAUUAAAUAAAAGCUUAGUUUUUUUCCAAGCAUAUUGUUAGAACUUCACUUCCUUUUCUUUGGUUAUAGGAAGUAACUGAUCUUCAAGAGAUGUCCAGAGGUGAGAGGCUGUUUCCAUGCCUAUAUUGGAGCUCAACAAUUCUUCUGUCAUAAGUCCUAACAACCAAGACGUAAGCAAACUGUCGUUGCUUUCCCAUGAGAUCAAUUCGGGAUUUUCAGCAAUUUCUCCAUCUUUCUGUAAAAUUUUCUCUUGUGGCUUUUCAGACAAAAGAAUAUGGUGGGAUAAUCCGAGGCUUCGAAUGAGGGGUAGGAUUUGAGAUCGCCACAGAAGAAAAUUUGUAGAGUUAAGUCUCACGGAGACAAGGCUGGAACAUUGGUGGAAAGGCUUGGCUGUUUCGGGUUGGCUCUUUAGGAAGAGAUGACGAAGAAGAAGAGGAGGUUGCACCAGGAGCCAUAACGUGCUCUGAUACCAUGAAAAGGAAUAUUAUGCUGACAAUUUUUUUCUUGAUGUGUAUAAAAACGAGAGAGCUACAAACUUAUAUACAAGUAUCAAAGUCAGCCAAAUCUUUUAGUGUAAAGACUAGACAGGCUGUCUUAUGUAUGUCUAGAUAUCAUUUGUGCAUAAGGAAUAUUAAUAUUAUCAAGUGAUACUAGCUUAGAAUAAAGAUUGUGUCUAGCAUACAGGGGUCAUUGAUGCCAAAUCUUGGAGAUGCUCAUCUUUAUUGUGAUUUUGUCGAGAUAUUUGCCGCUAGCUAAUAAUAUUCGGUGAGCUGUAGUUACUGAUUGUAUGGUUUAUCACAUAUAAAUACAAUAAAUUUCUGUUGUUUGUUUCAAUCGGAAUAUAGAAAGAUAAACAGGUCCACUUCACUUUAUGUUUGAGUCAUCAACAUUCGAUCCAGCGAGGAAUCAAAGGUAGGAAACUUACAAGCAAGAAAAGAACUAAUCAAUAUAAAGUGAGAUUCUUUCUAUGAGUGGUGCUAAAAAUAAAAGCGGCACCA